GUUUUGGAGUAGGAUUUAGAAACACAUGGACAUGAUGGAUAUCGGGAGUCGGUGAAAUCGGACAGGGGAAGAAAAUACCACCGAAACUGUGUCAACUCUUGCCACGACAUACUAUUUGCUGUGAGGUGACAUAAUGUUGUGUAACAUCGGUGGCUGAAACAUGGUCUUUUAAUAGCGUCCUCCAAAAAACAUCACCGAUAAUGCUGGCUGGCGACCAUGCCGGAGCCGGGAUGGAGCUGGAGCAAAAACAGCGCAGCAGCAUUUGGGCCGAGAUGCCGUUCCUCAGUGUGCAGUAGCAGUGCAGGCAGAAAUGAGGCACGUCUCUCCAUCGCCCCCCUGUCCAAAAAAGAUCCUUGGAGCCGAGGUUUAACAAUAAUAAUAGCAACAACAACAACAAAAAAUCCAAAUUGACUGACCCCCUUGGGCGGACGUUGUCUGACGUUGAUAAGAGGAAUUGUUGUUUUGGUAGACGAUUGCGCGACCGAGAGAAGAGGAAAAAAAAAAAAGGGGGAACCAGCCAAGAUUAGGGACAUCCGAAAAGCGGACGCUGGCAACAGGAGAGAGCAUUGUGUGGAAUAUUUCAAGCCAGCUGCACAGAUUAACACACGGAGCCACAGAGCACAGGCACCACACUCUUGUUGUUAGUGGUGAAACGAAGAAAGGAAAAAAAAAUUACGAAAAAAACGAAACUCACCCCCAGGUACGUAAGGCAAGCGAGUGUGUGACGACAAUUUACCUUUUAUCAUACAACGAAAGAUUUAUUUUUCCUUGUUUUGUGAGAGAGCAACCACUAACAUUAACACAUCAUACAGAGAGUUUUCCUACACUAUUGCUUUCUUUUUAUUUUAAAGAACAAAAACGAGAAAAUAUAGAGAGCGAGAGAGAGAGAAAGUUAGGCGAAUCAUCACAUGCUAGGAUCGCCCAAACAACAUUGGAGGGCAAUCCUGUGAUCACAAAUGUACUAAAGCCUAGCCUAGCUUGCGAUACACGUAAACGUAUAGAUAUAUCUAUCUACAUAAACAUACAUAUGCAUAUAUAUAGAGGGAUGUAUGGUUGAA
Long non-coding RNA from Anopheles stephensi (Asian malaria mosquito), 1058 nucleotides. RefSeq lists it as uncharacterized. The transcript is spliced from 2 exons. NCBI's taxonomy places the organism in Eukaryota, Metazoa, Arthropoda, Insecta, Diptera, Culicidae. The record is from RefSeq and is a predicted model, not a curated record.